UGAGGAAUAUUGGUCAAUGGGCGAGAGCCUGAACCAGCCAAGUAGCGUGCAGGAUGACGGCCCUAUGGGUUGUAAACUGCUUUUAUAUUGGAAUAAAGUGAGGGACGUGUCCCUUAUUGCAUGUACCAUACGAAUAAGGACCGGCUAAUUCCGUGCCAGCAGCCGCGGUAAUACGGAAGGUCCAGGCGUUAUCCGGAUUUAUUGGGUUUAAAGGGAGCGUAGGCUGUUUGUUAAGCGUGUUGUGAAAUGUAGGAGCUCAACUUUUAGAUUGCAGCGCGAACUGGCAGACUUGAGUGCGCACAACGUAGGCGGAAUUCAUGGUGUAGCGGUGAAAUGCUUAGAUAUCAUGACGAACUCCGAUUGCGAAGGCAGCUUACGGGAGCGCAACUGACGCUAAAGCUCGAAGGUGCGGGUAUCGAACAGG
Molecule: ribosomal RNA, 424 nt
Filed under: Verrucomicrobiota bacterium
Lineage: Bacteria; Pseudomonadati; Verrucomicrobiota
Description: Verrucomicrobia bacterium partial 16S ribosomal RNA
Rfam family: Bacterial small subunit ribosomal RNA
Source: RNAcentral